UGGCGGACGGGUGAGUAAUGUCUGGGAAACUGCCUGAUGGAGGGGGAUAACUACUGGAAACGGUAGCUAAUACCGCAUAACGUCGCAAGACCAAGAGGGGGACCUUGGGCCUCUUGCCAUCGGAUGUGCCCAGAUGGGAUUAGCUAGUAGGUGGGGUAACGGCUCACCUAGGCGACGAUCCCUAGCUGGUCUGAGAGGAUGACCAGCCACACUGGAACUGAGACACGGUCCAG
Molecule: ribosomal RNA, 233 nt
Filed under: uncultured bacterium
Lineage: Bacteria
Description: partial 16S ribosomal RNA
Rfam family: Bacterial small subunit ribosomal RNA
Source: RNAcentral